Molecule: ribosomal RNA, 289 nt
Filed under: Scymnus subvillosus
Lineage: Eukaryota; Metazoa; Arthropoda; Insecta; Coleoptera; Coccinellidae
Description: partial 12S ribosomal RNA
Source: RNAcentral
GAUUAAUAGUUAUGAUCUUUAAAGGUAAAUAAUUUGGCGGUAUUUUAGUCUUUUCAGAGGAACCUGUUUUGUAAAUGAUAGUCCACGAUAAAAUUGUCUUAAAUUAGAAAUUUAUAUAUCAUCGUUAUUAAAUAUUUUUAUAGAAGUUAAUAUUUACUAAAUAUAAUUUUAUUUUAAUUCAGAUCAAGGUAUAGUUUAUAUUUAAGUAAUAAUGGGUUACAAUAUUAAUAAAUUUGGAUUUUAAAUUUAAAAUUUAAAUGAAAUUGGAUUUGAAAGUAAUUAUAUUUAU